AUGAUAUGGAGGGUUGGGUCGGGAGAAAAGAUUAAUAUAUGGUCUGAUCCUUGGUUACCCUCAAAUGAUACCCGGCGCCCCCAUACGCUCCAAGGAGGACAUCUACUCACUAGAGUUUCUGAGCUUAUUGACCCAAGUACAAAUCGAUGGGACAGAGAUUUGGUCCGACAAAAAUUCUGCCCCGAGGAUGUGAGAACCAUUCUGAGCAUCCCAAUAUGUGAUCAAUACGAUGAUUUUGUUGCGUGGCACUUUGACAAAAAGGGGAUGUUUUCAGUCAGGUCGGCGUAUAGGGUACAUGUGCAUUUGCUACAGCAACAGAGAGUACGUCAAGUGGGUGUAAGCUCAGCCGGCCAGGAGAGUAUCACAAAUUUCUGGAACAUGCUUUGGAAGAUUAGAUGUCCACCUAGGGUGCAUCAUUUUAUGUGGAGGUUUGCACAUAAUAGCCAUCCCCUUUUGCGCAAUAUCGAGAGACUUACAAUUGAGUUGGACACACGAUGCUUCCUCUGCCAUCGACAAUCUGAAGAUGGUGGUCAUCUGUUCCUGCGCUGCAAAGAAGUAAAGAAAAUGUGGAGGUGCUGUGAUCUGGAGCAUAUCAGGUGGAAAUUACUUCUAUGUGAGUCUCCUAGGGACUUGCUUGAUGCUGUUUUUAAGCUCCCAGAAGUAGUAAAGCUGCGCACUAUCUGCUUGCUUUGGACUUGGUGGUCUGAGAGGAACAACGUUAAUCAUAAUAAG
This 732-nucleotide ribosomal RNA is filed under the name Triticum aestivum (bread wheat). Its description in RNAcentral is "partial small subunit ribosomal RNA". The record is from RNAcentral. Lineage: Eukaryota; Viridiplantae; Streptophyta; Magnoliopsida; Poales; Poaceae.